GACGGACGCUGGCGGCGUGCUUAACACAUGCAAGUCGAGCGGAAAGGCCCUGCUUUUGUGGGGUGCUCGAGUGGCGAACGGGUGAGUAACACGUGAGUAACCUGCCCUUGACUUUGGGAUAACUUCAGGAAACUGGGGCUAAUACCGGAUAGGAGCUCCUGCUGCAUGGUGGGGGUUGGAAAGUUUCGGCGGUUGGGGAUGGACUCGCGGCUUAUCAGCUUGUUGGUGGGGUAGUGGCUUACCAAGGCUUUGACGGGUAGCCGGCCUGAGAGGGUGACCGGCCACAUUGGGACUGAGAUACGGCCCAGACUCCUACGGGAGGCAGCAGUGGGGAAUAUUGCACAAUGGGCGGAAGCCUGAUGCAGCAACGCCGCGUGCGGGAUGACGGCCUUCGGGUUGUAAACCGCUUUCGCCUGUGACGAAGCGUGAGUGACGGUAAUGGGUAAAGAAGCACCGGCUAACUACGUG
Molecule: ribosomal RNA, 468 nt
Filed under: uncultured bacterium
Lineage: Bacteria
Description: partial 16S ribosomal RNA
Rfam family: Bacterial small subunit ribosomal RNA
Source: RNAcentral